GGGUUGUGAGGUUAAGCGACUAAGCGUACACGGUGGAUGCCCUGGCAGUCAGAGGCGAUGAAGGACGUGCUAAUCUGCGAUAAGCGUCGGUAAGGUGAUAUGAACCGUUAUAACCGGCGAUUUCCGAAUGGGGAAACCCAGUGUGAUUCGUCACACUAUCAUUAACUGAAUCCAUAGGUUAAUGAGGCGAACCGGGGGAACUGAAACAUCUAAGUACCCCGAGGAAAAGAAAUCAACCGAGAUUCCCCCAGUAGCGGCGAGCGAACGGGGAGCAGCCCAGAGCCUGAAUCAGUGUGUGUGUUAGUGGAAGCGUCUGGAAAGGCGCGCGAUACAGGGUGACAGCCCCGUACACAAAAAUGCACAUGCUGUGAGCUCGAUGAGUAGGGCGGGACACGUGGUAUCCUGUCUGAAUAUGGGGGGACCAUCCUCCAAGGCUAAAUACUCCUGACUGACCGAUAGUGAACCAGUACCGUGAGGGAAAGGCGAAAAGAACCCCGGCGAGGGGAGUGAAAAAGAACCUGAAACCGUGUACGUACAAGCAGUGGGAGCACAGAGCAAUCUGUGUGACUGCGUACCUUUUGUAUAAUGGGUCAGCGACUUAUAUUCUGUAGCAAGGUUAACCGAAUAGGGGAGCCGAAGGGAAACCGAGUCUUAACUGGGCGUUAAGUUGCAGGGUAUAGACCCGAAACCCGGUGAUCUAGCCAUGGGCAGGUUGAAGGUUGGGUAACACUAACUGGAGGACCGAACCGACUAAUGUUGAAAAAUUAGCGGAUGACUUGUGGCUGGGGGUGAAAGGCCAAUCAAACCGGGAGAUAGCUGGUUCUCCCCGAAAGCUAUUUAGGUAGCGCCUCGUGAAUUCAUCUCCGGGGGUAGAGCACUGUUUCGGCAAGGGGGUCAUCCCGACUUACCAACCCGAUGCAAACUGCGAAUACCGGAGAAUGUUAUCACGGGAGACACACGGCGGGUGCUAACGUCCGUCGUGAAGAGGGAAACAACCCAGACCGCCAGCUAAGGUCCCAAAGUCAUGGUUAAGUGGGAAACGAUGUGGGAAGGCCCAGACAGCCAGGAUGUUGGCUUAGAAGCAGCCAUCAUUUAAAGAAAGCGUAAUAGCUCACUGGUCGAGUCGGCCUGCGCGGAAGAUGUAACGGGGCUAAACCAUGCACCGAAGCUGCGGCAGCGACGCUUAUGCGUUGUUGGGUAGGGGAGCGUUCUGUAAGCCUGCGAAGGUGUGCUGUGAGGCAUGCUGGAGGUAUCAGAAGUGCGAAUGCUGACAUAAGUAACGAUAAAGCGGGUGAAAAGCCCGCUCGCCGGAAGACCAAGGGUUCCUGUCCAACGUUAAUCGGGGCAGGGUGAGUCGACCCCUAAGGCGAGGCCGAAAGGCGUAGUCGAUGGGAAACAGGUUAAUAUUCCUGUACUUGGUGUUACUGCGAAGGGGGGACGGAGAAGGCUAUGUUGGCCGGGCGACGGUUGUCCCGGUUUAAGCGUGUAGGCUGGUUUUCCAGGCAAAUCCGGAAAAUCAAGGCUGAGGCGUGAUGACGAGGCACUACGGUGCUGAAGCAACAAAUGCCCUGCUUCCAGGAAAAGCCUCUAAGCAUCAGGUAACAUCAAAUCGUACCCCAAACCGACACAGGUGGUCAGGUAGAGAAUACCAAGGCGCUUGAGAGAACUCGGGUGAAGGAACUAGGCAAAAUGGUGCCGUAACUUCGGGAGAAGGCACGCUGAUAUGUAGGUGAAGCGACUUGCUCGUGGAGCUGAAAUCAGUCGAAGAUACCAGCUGGCUGCAACUGUUUAUUAAAAACACAGCACUGUGCAAACACGAAAGUGGACGUAUACGGUGUGACGCCUGCCCGGUGCCGGAAGGUUAAUUGAUGGGGUCAGCGCAAGCGAAGCUCUUGAUCGAAGCCCCGGUAAACGGCGGCCGUAACUAUAACGGUCCUAAGGUAGCGAAAUUCCUUGUCGGGUAAGUUCCGACCUGCACGAAUGGCGUAAUGAUGGCCAGGCUGUCUCCACCCGAGACUCAGUGAAAUUGAACUCGCUGUGAAGAUGCAGUGUACCCGCGGCAAGACGGAAAGACCCCGUGAACCUUUACUAUAGCUUGACACUGAACAUUGAGCCUUGAUGUGUAGGAUAGGUGGGAGGCUUUGAAGUGUGGACGCCAGUCUGCAUGGAGCCGACCUUGAAAUACCACCCUUUAAUGUUUGAUGUUCUAACGUUGACCCGUGAUCCGGGUUGCGGACAGUGUCUGGUGGGUAGUUUGACUGGGGCGGUCUCCUCCUAAAGAGUAACGGAGGAGCACGAAGGUUGGCUAAUCCUGGUCGGACAUCAGGAGGUUAGUGCAAUGGCAUAAGCCAGCUUGACUGCGAGCGUGACGGCGCGAGCAGGUGCGAAAGCAGGUCAUAGUGAUCCGGUGGUUCUGAAUGGAAGGGCCAUCGCUCAACGGAUAAAAGGUACUCCGGGGAUAACAGGCUGAUACCGCCCAAGAGUUCAUAUCGACGGCGGUGUUUGGCACCUCGAUGUCGGCUCAUCACAUCCUGGGGCUGAAGUAGGUCCCAAGGGUAUGGCUGUUCGCCAUUUAAAGUGGUACGCGAGCUGGGUUUAGAACGUCGUGAGACAGUUCGGUCCCUAUCUGCCGUGGGCGCUGGAGAACUGAGGGGGGCUGCUCCUAGUACGAGAGGACCGGAGUGGACGCAUCACUGGUGUUCGGGUUGUCAUGCCAAUGGCACUGCCCGGUAGCUAAAUGCGGAAGAGAUAAGUGCUGAAAGCAUCUAAGCACGAAACUUGCCCCGAGAUGAGUUCUCCCUGACUCCUUGAGAGUCCUGAAGGAACGUUGAAGACGACGACGUUGAUAGGCCGGGUGUGUAAGCGCAGCGAUGCGUUGAGCUAACCGGUACUAAUGAACCGUGAGGCUUAACCUUACAACGCCGAAGGUGUUU
RNAcentral lists this ribosomal RNA (2933 nucleotides) under Escherichia coli. RNAcentral describes it as "23S ribosomal RNA". It matches the Rfam family "Bacterial large subunit ribosomal RNA". Lineage: Bacteria; Pseudomonadati; Pseudomonadota; Gammaproteobacteria; Enterobacterales; Enterobacteriaceae. The record is from RNAcentral.